CAAACAUAUUGCUUUUACGUUUGUCCGUACAAAGAAGGCUCAGAAACAAUGGAUACUAUUGGCGACUCGUUCGACGACUCAGUCCCUCAGUCUGAGUCAACUCGACCCUUGGACGAAGACAACGGUGGCUACGUCGACUACAACUCGGAGCAAUUCGACUCUUUCUCUGUCGGAGAUGAAGUUUUCGAUUCGCAUGAGCCCUUCAACGCACCUGGCGGAGAGUUCGAGCCGGAGGAAAAUGGGAAGGGGUUCAGUGGAGAGUUUGGUGGAUCGGACGGUCCGAUUUUGCCGCCUUC
This 296-nucleotide unclassified non-coding RNA is filed under the name Hevea brasiliensis (rubber tree). The record is from RNAcentral. Lineage: Eukaryota; Viridiplantae; Streptophyta; Magnoliopsida; Malpighiales; Euphorbiaceae.